This 85-nucleotide transfer RNA is filed under the name Nitrososphaerota archaeon. RNAcentral's name for it is "tRNA-Leu". It matches the Rfam family "tRNA". Rfam says of the family: Transfer RNA (tRNA) molecules are approximately 80 nucleotides in length. Their secondary structure includes four short double-helical elements and three loops (D, anti-codon, and T loops). Further hydrogen bonds mediate the characteristic L-shaped molecular structure. tRNAs have two regions of fundamental functional importance: the anti-codon, which is responsible for specific mRNA codon recognition, and the 3' end, to which the tRNAs corresponding amino acid is attached (by aminoacyl-tRNA synthetases). tRNAs cope with the degeneracy of the genetic code in two manners: having more than one tRNA (with a specific anti-codon) for a particular amino acid; and 'wobble' base-pairing, i.e. permitting non-standard base-pairing at the 3rd anti-codon position. Lineage: Archaea; Thermoproteati; Nitrososphaerota. The record is from RNAcentral.
GCAGGGGUCGCCAAGCCAGGUCAACGGCGUAGGCUUCAGGAGCCUAUCCUGCAGAGGUUCGUGGGUUCGAAUCCCACCUCCUGCA